AGCCAGUUAGCUAGAAGCAAGUUCAAAAAGAAUUCAGAAAGGGAGGUGGUGGGGGUGGUUAGGAAGGCAGGUCAGUAGACAACUUCUGUGACAUCCUAAGGAGUUCAGACUUGGCCCUGUAGCAGUGAGAAGGCAGUUAAGGAUUUUAAGCAUUGUGCAAAACAGAGUAAUAGACUGCAGUCUGUCAUGACUAGAAGAAGGGGUCUCAUUGGAAGAAACUGGAGGGACAAAUCAGACUCUGAACAAAACUAGCAGCACUGGGGAUGGAGCAAAGGGAUUGAAUACAAGAUAUAUGAAUGAUGUAAAAUUUACAGGCCAUGGUGACUAUUUGGACACGGGACAUGGAGAGAAGACUGCUCUGGCAGCCUAGGGAGCUGUUGGUUAUCUUUAGGGAUGGGAAGACAUACAAGAAAGCAACCAGUUACUGGAUUAUAUGAGGAAGGCUGUGACAGAGGCCAUACCGGAUGCUGCAGGAACACAGAAAAAGAAGGAUCUACGCCCUUUGAUGAAUUCCCAGGAAGCCUUCCCAGAUGUGUCAGUGGGCUCUUGAAGGGUGCUCAUCUACUGGAAAGGCUUCAACUUUCACCUUUGCUGAUGACGUUCCAGUCCCAGUCUGCCCAAUCUGAAUUCUUCCUCAGCCUCUGCUUAGCUUCCUAUCCUCCGUUCCUUCUCCUAUGAUCUAGGCAGACAUUGAGGAUUAUGCCUGGCACAUUUUCUCAGAGGGCCAAGGCACAGCCUUAAUUUUCUACUCAACUGGGAGCUCUAGGCACCCAUUACCAUUCAGAGUUGGCAUUCGAGACAAAAACUAUUUUUUUCCUGAAUCUAGUCCUUUUAAUUUUAAGCACCUUAAGGAAUAUACCUUUUAAAGUGUCUUGAAGGAUUUCAUUCCCCCAUUCAUUCAGCAAACUGUAAAGAGCUUCCCAUGUGCUGCCUGUUGAAUGCAACAUCCUCCCUCUCAAACCCUCUCCUGCUCAACAGGUCCCCUGCUAUCAAUGAUACCAGCAAUAGCACUGAAAGAAUAAAUAUACACCAGAUAACACAGGUGAGUGGGCACAGCUCUCCAUGCCACCCUAGUUCCUCACAAAGGCAUGCCCAAUAUUUGGAGGUACUGACAGCCUUAGAGGAAGGAGAAAUCCACCAGGUCAGAAAAAUUCUGAGCUGUAGGCUUGCUGCCUUUCUUACCUACAUUUGAGGAAAGGCCAGGUUAGCAUCCAAGAGUCCACCCUAUCACCAUAUAAAGAAUUCCAUGCCAGACACAUAUACUUCUAUUUCCUAAUGCUGGUCCUGGGUCUACAGUGGUCUUAUUAUAAUCAGUAGACCAUUCUAGUUCAAGCCCUUAUCCCCUCCUAUAUGGAUAACUGUAACAGACUCUCCUCUCCAGUUCAUCCUAUAAAUGCCAUAGCCAAACUCUACCCCAAUUUUAACUCCUAGUAAUUACUGAUUUGUUCUAUAGGUUGGUGCAACAGUAAUUGCGGUUUUCACCAUUAAAAGUAAUGGCGAAAGUAAUGCUUAGCCUCCUAUUUGGCGAAACUGUAAUGGUGAAAACUGUAAUUACUGUUGCAUCAACCUAAUACAACACUGCAAUUUUGUUUUUUAAGAAUUUCAAAUAGGCCAGGCACGGUGGCUCACACCUGUAAUCCCAGCACUUUGGAAGGCCGAGGCGGGUGGAUCACCAGGUCAGGAGUUCAAGACCAGCCUGACCAACAUGGUGAAACCCCAUCUCUACUAAAAAUACAAAAAUAAGUUGGGUGUAGUGGCGUGCGCCUGUAGUCCCAGCUACUCAGGAGGCUGAGGCAGGAGAAUAGCUUGAACCUGGGAGGCGGAGGUUGCAGUGAACUAAGAUCGCACUGCACUCCAGCCUGAGCGACAGAGCAAGACUCCAUCUCAAAAAAAAAAAAAAA
This 1901-nucleotide long non-coding RNA is filed under the name Homo sapiens (human). RNAcentral's name for it is "HSALNT0147168". Lineage: Eukaryota; Metazoa; Chordata; Mammalia; Primates; Hominidae. The record is from RNAcentral.